RNAcentral lists this unclassified non-coding RNA (247 nucleotides) under plant metagenome. RNAcentral's name for it is "partial contains small subunit ribosomal RNA, internal transcribed spacer 1, and 5.8S ribosomal RNA". The stretch from base 199 to 247 matches the Rfam family "5.8S ribosomal RNA", at positions 1 to 49 of the family's 154-position model. The record is from RNAcentral.
UUUCCGUAGGUGAACCUGCGGAAGGAUCAUUAAAGAAUUUGCCCCGUCCUCUCGAGGAUGGGUCCUCUUCUAAACCGUGUAUACAUACCUUUGUUGCUUUGGCGGGCCGCCGUCUCGGCGUUGGCUUCGGCUGACUGUGCCCGCCAGAGAACCCCAACUCUUCUGUUUAGUAUUGUCUGAGUACUAUAUAAUAGUUAAAACUUUCAACAACGGAUCUCUUGGUUCUGGCAUCGAUGAAGAACGCAAC